RNAcentral lists this ribosomal RNA (253 nucleotides) under uncultured bacterium. Its description in RNAcentral is "partial 16S ribosomal RNA". It matches the Rfam family "Bacterial small subunit ribosomal RNA", at positions 524 to 776 of the family's 1533-position model. The record is from RNAcentral.
UACGUAGGGGGCAAGCGUUAUCCGGAUUCACUGGGUGUAAAAGGAGCGUAGACGGCCAUGCAAGCCUGGAGUGAAAGCCCGGGGCCCAACCCCGGGACUGCUCUGGGAACUGUGCGGCUGGAGUGCGGGAGGGGCAGGCGGAAUUCCUGGUGUAGCGGUGAAAUGCGUAGAUAUCAGGAGGAACACCGGCGGCGAAGGCGGCCUGCUGGACCGCAACUGACGUUGAGGCUUGAAAGCGUGGGGAGCAAACAGG